This 672-nucleotide ribosomal RNA is filed under the name Staphylococcus cohnii. Its description in RNAcentral is "bacterial SSU rRNA". It matches the Rfam family "Bacterial small subunit ribosomal RNA", at positions 56 to 710 of the family's 1533-position model. The record is from RNAcentral. Lineage: Bacteria; Bacillati; Bacillota; Bacilli; Caryophanales; Staphylococcaceae.
UGCAAGUCGAGCGAACAGAUAAGGAGCUUGCUCCUUUGACGUUAGCGGCGGACGGGUGAGUAACACGUGGGUAACCUACCUAUAAGACUGGAAUAACUCCGGGAAACCGGGGCUAAUGCCGGAUAACAUUUAGAACCGCAUGGUUCUAAAGUGAAAGAUGGUUUUGCUAUCACUUAUAGAUGGACCCGCGCCGUAUUAGCUAGUUGGUAAGGUAACGGCUUACCAAGGCAACGAUACGUAGCCGACCUGAGAGGGUGAUCGGCCACACUGGAACUGAGACACGGUCCAGACUCCUACGGGAGGCAGCAGUAGGGAAUCUUCCGCAAUGGGCGAAAGCCUGACGGAGCAACGCCGCGUGAGUGAUGAAGGUCUUCGGAUCGUAAAACUCUGUUAUUAGGGAAGAACAAAUGUGUAAGUAACUGUGCACGUCUUGACGGUACCUAAUCAGAAAGCCACGGCUAACUACGUGCCAGCAGCCGCGGUAAUACGUAGGUGGCAAGCGUUAUCCGGAAUUAUUGGGCGUAAAGCGCGCGUAGGCGGUUUCUUAAGUCUGAUGUGAAAGCCCACGGCUCUACCGUGGAGGGUCAUUGGAAACUGGGAAACUUGAGUGCAGAAGAGGAAAGUGGAAUUCCAUGUGUAGCGGUGAAAUGCGCAGAGAUAUGGAGGAACACC